UUAACUGGCAACUUGGUCCUGACGGCAUGUGUAUAUGACUACGGGGUGUGUCAUCCUGUAAAACAGCAUCAUGGGUUGCAUGACAGCGGCUCAGAGACCUUCUUCUCAGAGGUAAUCUUGCCGUGUUCCUGCCCACUCUGGAUCAGCUCUUCAGGCUGGUGGCAGCCCUCAUGUUGAUUUGUAGGGCUUUGCCAUGUUCACAAAUCACAACUGCAGAGGGGACAGGACCAGUGCACACGCGGAAAUCAGAAAUGAGGUCAGGGGUCAGGAAUGUGGAAUGGUCACAUUUAAGUUCUUCGCGAAAAAGAACAAAGCAAUCUGCAGAGGAUUGGUCUCAAGGCCAGGCCCCAACAUUCCUAUCCCAACAGCAUUGUCAGUGAUUUUUAAACAGAACUUGAAGUUGAAGUUGAGGUGACUUCCUGAACACUGAGCCUGAAACUCUUGACACUGGAUCAACAGAAAACAAGCUUCUCUUUGUUAAGACAUAAAUGUCAAGGUUACUACAAGCAUCAGUCAUAAGAGCAAGGAAAUACACUCCUCAUGCAGAUUAGCGAUUAAGAACCAUAUUGGCUCUCCUAAGUUCAUGCAUCAAUCAUGCAUGUCAGUCUGAAAGGCAUGCUUGUCUAUCACAGAGGAAAACCAAGGGAGUACAGCCACUACAAGAUGGAGAUUACCAGAACUUUUUGCAUUUAGAGAGUAGAAUAUAUUGAGUUGUAUAAGCAAAAAUCUGCUACAAUGACUAACAAAUGUUCAAGUGAGAACUUUUAAGGUCAUAUUACCAAAUAAAAUAGGAGGCUGAUCAAUAAAUUGGGAGGUUGAUCAAUAAAUUGGGGGACUGGUAAAUAAAAUGGAAAACUGGUCAAUAUAGUGGGAGAUUGAUCAAGCAGUUGUGUGACUGGUCAAUAAAGUGGGACACUGAUCAGUAAAUUGGGAGACCGAUCAAUAAAUUGGGAGACCGAUCAAUAAAUUGGGAGACUGGUCAAUCUAGUGGGAGACUGGUCAAUAAAAUUGGGAGAGCGGUCAAUAAAAUGGGGGACUGAUCACUAACAUGAAGACUGAUCAGCUCAGUUUGAAAAUUAUAAUAAAAAAAUAAAUAAAUAAAUAAUAAUAAUAACUUUAAUAUUAUCACAACAGCAUUUAUAAGUGCUAAUAAGCAAAUAAAUGCAAGUCUAUGGUGGACAAUUACAUUCAGGAAGUAUAACAUUAGCAAGAUAGCUAAUCCAUCAGCUCCUGCUUAGACUUCUAACUCUACUGGUUAGUAAGUAAAAUGCCAAAAACUUAAUGUAGGUCUGCACUAUUCUUUUGUUCUACAGAAAUCCUGGCUGUAGCAUAUGUUAAGAAUUUUUCAGUAAAACAAUAGGAUGUUUUCUACAGUUCUAUACAUGCAUUAUAAAUGAAUAGGAACAUCUCUCCUGAAUAAAAACUGCAGUGUUUUUCAUUUUCUUAUAGACUUCUGUGUUGAACAACGUAGUAGUAGUAGUAGUAGUAGUAGUAGUAGUAGUAUAGCACUUUCUCCAAUCAUACAGAUUGUUAAAAGUUUCGUCACUUAAUGCAAUAAUCAGUUUCUGUAAUAUAAAGUUAUACAAUUGUUAUAGCCUGUUAUAGUCUAUUGUUAUGUGCAUGGUUCCAAAUCCUGACAAUCAGAUAAGCCCUUUUUUCAUCAAACUGAUUUGAGACUAUAGUAACCAAAAACCUCAACGCUAGCCUGAACAUGAAACUGUUAAAAGAUGUAACACUCAGCUACUUAAGGGUUGUGUAGCUGGCAGACAUGACAGGUCACCUCACUGUGCCUCAAUGAUCAAAAAUAUCAUUUUCUUAAAGCAGACCUUAGCCAGAUGUCUUAAGCUAAAUGAUUUCACUGUUGCCCGAACACACCUAAUUUACCUCAUGAAGUACUAAAUGCAAGUGAAAUGAAAAGGAAUAAGAAUUUGCAGCAUAUCGUCAGUUUAGCUCACACCAGACCUAAUUAAGCUACUCGCUACACACACUACUUUAAGUUACAAAGAAAAGUCCAGACUACUGUCAAUUAGAGUUGACAAGAGGCCAAUUAAGAUCCAUACCAGACAAACUGAACAUUUAUCAAGUAGACUAAAUCUUAGAAAUCUAAAGCUUGGGAUAAAUACAUAGGGAGAGUAGGGAGUUAAGAGGAGCCAGAGACAUGAGACAAAGCAGAAAAGCACACAAUAUCUUAGAAUGAUGCAUAAAGAUAUACUGGAGUCAGUGGUGUUAGCCUGUGUCGCCUUUAGCAAAUUCCCGAAUGGAGGCUAUGUAUUAAAUAUGACAUUCCCACAACAUGUUAAGUUGUGGGAUCAAGUUAGACGAUUCACAGCCAGGAGUUUGAUAUAAUAAUUCAUGACCACAAGAUACUUAGUUGUGCCUGGAAUUAUUAACUUACGGCCUCAAUACAUUAUCUCGUGGACAUGUUAUUUCUAUUAAGAAAUAACCAUCAUGUUACCUCAGAAGUCUCUACAAAGAUGCCUCCUUCAAAACACUUUAUAAUUAAAUACAAGUUUUGAGAUUGAGUCCAAGAGCCAUUGAUAUAAUUUUUUUUACAAAGGUUUUCUUACCUAAAUAACAGAGAUUGAGACCACCAAACAUUGACAAGAGGGGUAUGGCCAAAAGUCACAGCUCCUUAGCUAUGAUAAACACUCAUAACAGAGGGAAGGGAUGGCAGUUCUCUAGGAGAUUAAACGCUGUAGUCUUGAACGCAGGCAAAACAGAAAGAGGAGUUUAAACUGACUGACAGACGGAUUGACAGGCAAUAACAAUGUCAGGAUCGUACUGAUAUAAUUAUACAGCCCUAAGUGUCAGUUGAGCCUGAGUAUCCUCUCAGUGACUGGGUUGACUCUCUGCAAGCUUGUGCAGGCAAAUUAUGCGUCACUGACAACAUGCAGGCGUGUUGAUGACAUACAUUAAUACAAGUUGUGUCCUGUGUUCGGCUGCAUGAUCUGGUGUUGUUGUGUCAGCUAUACAUGCGUUUGCGUCAACAGCAUAUACAUGUAUAAAGUUACUGAACUGGAUCAGGAAAUGCGUCAAAUCAGAAUCGAUACCAGUGGAGUUUCAGUUUCAGGCUAGUGUGAGCUCUGAUACUGAUAUUGUAUUGGAUCACUAAUAAAUCACUAAUAAAUAUAUAAUUAGAGAGAGAGAGAGAGAGAGAGAGAGAGAGAGAGAGAGAGAGCUCCAUGGACAGCCUUGAUGCAGCUGAAGGUCAAUGAGGUCGAUUUUGCAAACAGUCCAUUGUAAAAGGUGAAUUAUUUAAAGCAACUUGUUAAUAUAGAAGACUUAUCUUCCUCAUCCCAUGCUGCUUAACUAGAGGUUGAAAAUGAUUUGGGGUUUUCUCAACUGCCUGCUCAGAAGCCAAAGACUCUUUUGGCUGACACAGAGCAAACAAUAUCUCUUUCUGAGGACUCACGGAAAUAGCUCCCUAGUUACUUUCGGGAUUAUUGGAUAACAACGAUCAGAAAAUAACAAUAUAUUUUUGCGAACUGGAACUGAAUUUGAACAAUGUACAUUAUUGAUUACAACAACAACCGCUGGUUAAACAGUCCCUCUCUCUCCACCGCUCGCAUUCACACACUUCUCUGCUGGUACACAAUUGCGGGACAGAAGAAAGGAUCAUUUUUCAUGUCUGUGCAUUUGUAAUUAUUAUUGUCUAAUACUGUGUAUUUGUGUAGCCUAUAUGUUGUUUAUGUAUAUAUGUGUCUAAAACAUACAUACACACACACACACACACACACACACACACACACAACACCUCACUGACAGUAACCAGUGACAGGUCUGUUGUGCUCAUGACACAGAGAGGAAACAGCAGGUGUAAAGAACAGUGUGUGUGUGUGUGUGUGUGUGUGUGUGGGUGUGUGUACCAGCAGUGGCUCCUGACGUUAGAUUUGGUGGGGAAGCACGACAUUAAUAAAGACGUAGCGUCAAACAAAAUUAAUUCAAGAGGCAAUCACGCUCAUGCUAUAGAAUACUAUGUAAGAGUAACCCUGUAAGAGGAAGUUAAGAGUCGACAAAGCAUACAGUCAUCCAGUGCACAAUCUAGCAGCUUGUUUUGAGUAGUUUUAGAUGCACCUUUGUUGAACCUUAGAAACGCUAAUAUCACUAACUUGGGUUGCCAGCUUUCAAUCAAAAUUUCUAGCUCAACUGCAUCUCAAAAACCACACACCAGGCCAGAAUUUAGGCCAAAAAAAUACAGCAUUGGAAAAGGGAGACUUCCUCAGCCUAUGUGUGGGGAAACAAGGUCACCGUAGCACACACAUUUCUGAUGUAUAGGACUUAUCCCCUCUAUAAUCCCACUUUCCUUCUCCCAGUGUUUGCAAUAUAUCUUGUUCAUGUACAUCAUGUACAAUGUACAUCACAGAUUGAAUAUACACUUUACUUUUGUUUUGUGAAAAUGUACUAUUAUAUGGUCCAGUGUUUCAAAUAGCUGAAUUUGCCACUGUCCGCUGCUCCACCACUGAGCAUGGGGCAGCGUGAUUCAGGUCCUAGUGGGUUUGUAAUUUUUAAAAAUUACCGCAGAUUUUCCACAGAUUUGGGCCAUGUCACAUGGUGCAUUUAUUCGAAGCGCUCUUCGGUUCACGUGCAUUGAAUAUGAGUACAGCUGAAAGCUCUCAAUUACCAGCAAACAUCAACGUGAAAAAAAGCAACUGUGAUUUCACCAAUUCAAGUAGUUUUCCAAAAAAAAAUUUUUUUUUUAAAUCACAAAAGACUCUGCAAUUCGCAUCACAGAUUUAGAAAAAAGCUGCAGCAAAAUCAAGUAUUUCUGUCUGUAACAAUCACAAAAAAAAAUCUUCGAAAUCCUGUAUGGACUGUCUAUUAGCACUGCUUCCAGUUCCCAUUUUUGUCAACUAGGUGCAAUAAUAACUCUGUGGACCAAAAUACAGCAGAGUGAUCACAACCCAUUGAUGGCACAACGUAUAGAUAGGCGAGUAAAUCAGUGAAACAUUGGCUUAUAUCUGUCAAAUUGCAACAUUUUAUUUUGUUGGUCACUCACAAGGGGUAAUUAGUAUUAGAACUAAAUUUUAAAUGUCUGGAGGACUUUAUGAAGAUUAACAUAUUGAGUGGCUCGUAUACACCAUGUGGGGUGUUCCCGGGAACGCUGUGGUUGGCUAGUACCUACCAAAAGUGGUCUAAGGAAGUACAACUACGCCCUACCACAUAAUCUGCCCUGCCACACUGCAAAAAUUGUUCAGGAAUGGUUUGAGGAACAUGACAAAAGCUGUGACCGAAUAUCCGUACUACCCUACUAAAGAGUAGGUGAAAAGCAGUACGCCAAAGGAGUACUAUGUCCGAAUUCUCCGUAUUCGCAAAACAAUAGGCGAAAAAUUCCUGGAUGACCUACUGCUUCCGCUGAGAUUCUGCAGUAUGGAACCAACAGACACUGUGCUA
This is a long non-coding RNA of Ictalurus punctatus (channel catfish), 5391 nucleotides long. The record is from Ensembl. Lineage: Eukaryota; Metazoa; Chordata; Actinopteri; Siluriformes; Ictaluridae.